RNAcentral lists this ribosomal RNA (253 nucleotides) under uncultured bacterium. RNAcentral's name for it is "partial 16S ribosomal RNA". It matches the Rfam family "Bacterial small subunit ribosomal RNA", at positions 524 to 776 of the family's 1533-position model. The record is from RNAcentral.
UACGAAGGGGGCGAGCGUUGUUCGGAUUUACUGGGCGUAAAGGGCGCGUAGGCGGCCCUCCUUGUCGCGUGUGAAAGCCCCGGGCUCAACCUGGGAAUUGCGCGCGAAACGGGAGGGCUUGAGUUCGGGAGAGGAGCGUGGAAUUCCCGGUGUAGCGGUGAAAUGUGUAGAGAUCGGGAGGAACACCGGUGGCGAAGGCGGUCUUCUGGACGGUGACUGACGCUGAGGCGCGAAAGCGUGGGGAGCAAACGGG